This 573-nucleotide long non-coding RNA is filed under the name Ricinus communis (castor bean). Its description in RNAcentral is "long non-coding RNA (RCOM_LNC002990)". The record is from RNAcentral. Lineage: Eukaryota; Viridiplantae; Streptophyta; Magnoliopsida; Malpighiales; Euphorbiaceae.
AUUACUUUGUUAUCCUAUAACUUCUGGUAAGUAUUUAAUAGACUAAACUUUGUGUAUAUUGAGUAGGGACUGCUGUUUGAUUACUUGAUAAUUUCUUGGUUGACUGAGUUGAUAUUAGUUAGGUUUUUGGCUUGUUAUAAAGUGAAUUGAUUGUGAUGUGUUGUGAAGUGAAUUGAUUGUGAUGUGUUGUGAAGUGAAAUGAUUGUGAUUAAGGAUUGAUGACUUUUGUAUGGAUAUUGUGUGAUCGGGAAAGCUGAGCCGGGCGGAUAGCUACCCGAGUAUGUGAGAUGGCAAGACUGAGCCGGGCGGAUAGUCUUGUCAAGUGGUUACUGAAAUUUAAAAAUGUGAGGAAAUGUAAGGAUGAGUCAUCUGAUCCUAAUUUGAUAGAAAUAAUGUGGAAUUGAAUUAUUUGACUUGGUUGAGUUUGAGAUUAUUUGCAUUACGUGAGAUGAAAUUAUAUGUUUAUGAGAAUAACUGAAAUGGUUGAUUUUGUGAUUGUUAGUUAAGUGUUGGUAUAAUUUUCUGUAUUGAUAAAGAUUUGAUAAUUCUAGCCUAAUAUACUAUAGUUUAGUA